Molecule: transfer RNA, 75 nt
Filed under: Candidatus Woesebacteria bacterium CG22_combo_CG10-13_8_21_14_all_39_10
Lineage: Bacteria; Candidatus Woeseibacteriota
Description: tRNA-Ile
Rfam family: tRNA
About the family: Transfer RNA (tRNA) molecules are approximately 80 nucleotides in length. Their secondary structure includes four short double-helical elements and three loops (D, anti-codon, and T loops).
Source: RNAcentral
GCGCCCGUAGUUCAUUGGUAGAACGCGACUCUUAUAAAGUCGAUGUACUUGGUUCGAUUCCAAGCGGGCGCACAA